AUGAGCCGAUAUAUGGAACUUUCUGCCGAAAUACUUCAUCCCCCACUCACAGCCUUUAUGUCUUUGUAAGAAAUUUUGUCUGCAAAAUAGGAGAAGAUGCUGAACUUUUCAUGUCCCUCUAUGAUCCCCAUAAGCAUACAGUGAUAAGUGAAAAUUAUUUGGUGAGGUGGGGGAGCAAAGGUUUUGUCAAAGAAGUUGACAAUUUCAACAAUCUUAAAGUGGUUUUCACUGAUCUUGGAAACAAAGAUCUUGGAAGGGAUCGAAUUUAUUUGAUCUGUCAAAUUGUACGAAUUGGAAAAAUGGAUCUCAAAGAUACUAACACCAAAAAAUAUACUCAGGGCAUA
Pseudonaja textilis is the source of this 344-nucleotide non-coding RNA. The record is from RefSeq and is a predicted model, not a curated record. Lineage: Eukaryota; Metazoa; Chordata; Lepidosauria; Squamata; Elapidae.